This 104-nucleotide ribosomal RNA is filed under the name Paraclostridium bifermentans. The record is from RNAcentral. Lineage: Bacteria; Bacillati; Bacillota; Clostridia; Peptostreptococcales; Peptostreptococcaceae.
UACUAUAGCAAAGAGGAUACACCUGUUCCCAUUCCGAACACAGAAGUUAAGCUCUUUAGCGCCGAUGGUACUUGGUGGGAAGCUGCCUGGGAGAGUAGGACGUA